GAUCCAUAUACAUCACAGUACUUUCUGCAGAACGUAAGCUCCCCGAAGGCAGGGACUGUCCAGGGAUGGUCUGUAACCCUAGCAUAAUGCCUUGCAUAGUAGUUCCUUGGUGACUGCUGAGCUGAAUUAAUAAGAGGACUUUGCUGGGGGAGAGGGAGGGAGGGCUAGAAGUCUACAGAGGGGCCGCCUUAGCAUCACGUUCUCUCUGAAAGUUGGUUUUAGCUGCCUCUAUAAAGUCGGUGCAGUCACGAGGCUUUGGCGGGCACAACGGGGUAGCUAGGACUGUGGCCGUGGCCAGAGGACUGCUUCCUCUUCCCAUCCUACAACAGCAGCAUCAAUUCAACUCCAGUGCUGAGCCUGGGACCAUGAGGCAGUUGGGGGAAGUGGGUCCCACCCAGUGGUUUCUUUUGAGAUGGAUAAAAGGAGAAAAGGAAGAGGGGCUGGGCACCCUCCCAGCCUGGCAUUCCUUACUGUGCCACACGCCUGUGUCCUGACCAUGCAGCUGCCGCACCUGCGGCAAGGGGGAGGGGUAAGGGGCACAGUCUGCAACCACGUUCUCUUGCUGACUUAGAGCAGGCGCGGAGCCUGAAUGAGACAGACCAGCCAUCUCCAGCCUUGCCACUCUGGGAGCUGGGGGGAAGGCGAUAAGAUGGCAGACAAUCCUUUCUCCCUGAGCGGGAAGCCUCUGGGGAGCUGAGACUGUCCGGUGCUGACUCAGCAGUCUCACACCUGCCUUAGGUAUUUUAAGCCAUCCCCACUGAGCAAGCGUUUCUCCUUUGGGAUUUUGCUGAGUACCUGAGCUGGGCUUUCAGUGCAGGCAAUAUACGUCAGGGCAUGGAAAAAGCUCUUAAGAAGCUGGAAGAGAAGGCUAAAAGAAAUGAGGUCAGGUAGAGGCAAGGAAAGAUUCAUGAAGAGGCCCAGAGUCCUAGGCUUUGGGGGAAGAGGGUGAUGGGAGAACUCUGGGAAGAUGGGACCACAUUCAUCUCCAGAGGAUCAACUAUCUUGCAGCUCCGAGACCCUAACUCCUGAGGAAUGAGCGUCUGGACUGGCCCGGCAAAGCAGGCAGAAAUUCAAACAUGUGACCUUUCAUCAUUCUACAGGAGAUGGGGAGAGUGAAGACUCAGGACUGGGGAUACAGGGUGGGUUAGGUCGCCAGCAAGGACGACCAAAAAUCAAGCCUUCCCUCCUCAAAUUCCAAGCAAAGCAUGUGGUUAUUCUGGGCCCAAGUGACUUGGACAGAAAAUGCCUCUUUUGCCUACCUGAUGAGACCACAGAUUAAGAGGUGAAGGCCUGACCCUUAAGGAG
Molecule: long non-coding RNA, 1305 nt
Filed under: Sarcophilus harrisii (Tasmanian devil)
Lineage: Eukaryota; Metazoa; Chordata; Mammalia; Dasyuromorphia; Dasyuridae
Description: lncRNA (ENSSHAG00000022221.1)
Source: RNAcentral